UGCCCCAUGGCUUAGUUGGUUACGGCGUCCGACUGUUAGCCAUUCGUUAGAUUUGCAGAAUAUCGGAAGAUCGAGAGUUCAAGUCUCUCUGGGGCAG
Hypholoma sublateritium FD-334 SS-4 is the source of this 97-nucleotide transfer RNA. It matches the Rfam family "tRNA". Rfam says of the family: Transfer RNA (tRNA) molecules are approximately 80 nucleotides in length. The record is from Rfam. NCBI's taxonomy places the organism in Eukaryota, Fungi, Basidiomycota, Agaricomycetes, Agaricales, Strophariaceae.